CCUACUGGAGGCAGCAGUGAGGAAUAUUGGUCAAUGGACGGAAGUCUGAACCAGCCAUGCCGCGUGCAGGAUGACGGCCCUAUGAGUUGUAAACUGCUUUUGUAUGAGAAUCAUAGUUCUUACGUGUAGGAAUUUGAAUGUAUCGUACGAAUAAGGAUCGGCUAACUCCGUUCCAGCAGCCGCGGUAAUACGGAGGAUUCGAGCGUUAUCCGGAUUUAUUGGGUUUAAAGGGUGCGUAGGCUGUUGGUUAAGUUAGAGGUCAAAGGUCGGGGCUUAACCCUGGAACUGCCGUUGAUACUGGUAGACUAGAGAGCGGAUGCGGCAGGCGGAAUGAGUGGUGUAGCGGUGAAAUGCUUAGAUAUUACGAAGAACACCGAUUGCGAAGGCAGCUUGCUGGUCCGCAUCUGACGCUGAGGCUCGAAAGCGUGGGUAGCAAACAGGAUUAGAUACCCGAGUAGUC
This 460-nucleotide ribosomal RNA is filed under the name uncultured bacterium. Its description in RNAcentral is "partial 16S ribosomal RNA". It matches the Rfam family "Bacterial small subunit ribosomal RNA", at positions 338 to 795 of the family's 1533-position model. The record is from RNAcentral.